This 381-nucleotide ribosomal RNA is filed under the name Triticum aestivum (bread wheat). Its description in RNAcentral is "partial small subunit ribosomal RNA". Lineage: Eukaryota; Viridiplantae; Streptophyta; Magnoliopsida; Poales; Poaceae. The record is from RNAcentral.
AUGAGGAGCUCAGUGCACGUGCCAGCCGCGGUAGAGGCGCUGCUAUGCCACCCGGUGGCGGCCCUAUCCGAGAGGCCGGCGCUGCGGCUGACGCGGCUGCUGGUGAACGUGACGAUGGAGCGGAGCUUGUGGCCGGUGCAUGUGCUGCUGGGCGCCGACACCACCGUGGUCGACCUGGCGCGUGCCACCGUCGACGCCUAUGCCGACGAGGGGCGCAGGCGGCCGCUCCCGGCCGAUGAGGGCGCCACCGACGAGGCCGCGCGGUUCGAGCUGCACCUCUCCACCCCACCGGACUCACGGGCUAUGCCUACGGCCCAGGGCCGUCGGCAUAGGUCCAUUGCCGUCGGCAUAGAUCUAUGCCUACGGCUGCCGUCGGCAUAG